AUUGAACGCUGGCGGCAUGCUUUACACAUGCAAGUCGAACGGCAGCGCGGGGGCAACCCUGGCGGCGAGUGGCGAACGGGUGAGUAAUAUAUCGGAACGUACCCAGAAGUGGGGGAUAACGUAGCGAAAGUUACGCUAAUACCGCAUACGAUCUACGGAUGAAAGUGGGGGACCUUCGGGCCUCAUGCUUUUGGAGCGGCCGAUAUCUGAUUAGCUAGUUGGUGAGGUAAAGGCUCACCAAGGCGACGAUCAGUAGCUGGUCUGAGAGGACGACCAGCCACACUGGAACUGAGACACGGUCCAGACUCCUACGGGAGGCAGCAGUGGGGAAUUUUGGACAAUGGGGGCAACCCUGAUCCAGCAAUGCCGCGUG
RNAcentral lists this ribosomal RNA (373 nucleotides) under uncultured bacterium. Its description in RNAcentral is "bacterial SSU rRNA". It matches the Rfam family "Bacterial small subunit ribosomal RNA", at positions 30 to 403 of the family's 1533-position model. The record is from RNAcentral.